Long non-coding RNA from Peromyscus leucopus (white-footed mouse), 905 nucleotides. RefSeq lists it as uncharacterized. Lineage: Eukaryota; Metazoa; Chordata; Mammalia; Rodentia; Cricetidae. The transcript is spliced from 3 exons. The record is from RefSeq and is a predicted model, not a curated record.
GAGAAGAGCCCUUUGGUGGAUCCAAGUCCUAUUGGAUCAAGGCUUCAUUUUUACAACCUCAUUUAAACUUCAUUUUGCUGCAUCCCCAAAGGCUUCACUUCCAGCUAUAGAUAAGUAGGGGCACCUCCUGCUGAGUCAGUCUGUUAACACAACAUAGCUGAAAAGUCCACAGCCUUGUGUGCUUCUACCUUCUCCGGAUACCAACGGUCACCGUGAUAGUCAAUCAAGCUUUAAAAAGACACAGCUAUUCAAUUGAGGGAAGUAUUUCCUUGUGAGAGUCAUUUCUUGGACAACUCCUUUCAUCUGGAAACCAGGAAGUGAGUCAGCUUUACUAACUUCAAUCUCCUGGUUGGUGUUUUGUUAUUCAUCCGGACUAAGGACAUUUUUUUCCUCCCCACAGAACCUGGUAUGACCAAGCAGGCAGGUCACUUGCUGAAAUCUCCGCUUCAAAACAUCUACAGGUUCUGUUGUCAAGGAUCUUAACAGCCUCUGCUUGGAAAGGUGCCUGGCUGGUCACAAGACUAUGACUCAUCGGCGUUAGCUAAACACAAGACCCAGCUGACAAAAUCCAUGACGUCAUUCCUUUUCUAUGUGUCUUUAACAUCGUUUAGAUACAGAAGUCCUUGGAUAAUAUGCAAAGCUUUCAAAUAAGAACAUGUCUGGAAUACUUAAGAGAAAAAACACCCUGUUAUGUCUGAGUAACAAAGGCAAUGCAGGCUCCAGGAUUCUGGGCUUGUGGUACUUGCUGAUACAAAGUACUCCACCAAGUUUUACAGUGUAUAAACUAGUCACUAGGGCUGGUUAAAGUUUAACUCAACUGAAAUAUUUCAGACUUGAGUAACUACUGAAGAAUGCCCAGUUUGGUAGUACUGAAAAAAUCAACAACCCCCAAGAACUAUUUCCUU